UACAGAGGUGGCAAGCGUUGUUCGGAAUUACUGGGCGUAAAGGGCGCGUAGGCGGCCUUCUAAGUCAGACGUGAAAUCCCCAGGCUUAACUUGGGAACUGCGUCUGAUACUGGAUGGCUUGAGUUUGGGAGAGGGAUGCGGAAUUCCAGGUGUAGCGGUGAAAUGCGUAGAUAUCUGGAGGAACACCGGUGGCGAAGGCGGCAUCCUGGACCAACACUGACGCUGAUGAGCGAAAGCCAGGGGAGCAAACGGG
This 253-nucleotide ribosomal RNA is filed under the name uncultured bacterium. RNAcentral's name for it is "partial 16S ribosomal RNA". It matches the Rfam family "Bacterial small subunit ribosomal RNA", at positions 524 to 776 of the family's 1533-position model. The record is from RNAcentral.